RNAcentral lists this ribosomal RNA (1257 nucleotides) under Triticum aestivum (bread wheat). RNAcentral describes it as "partial small subunit ribosomal RNA". The record is from RNAcentral. Lineage: Eukaryota; Viridiplantae; Streptophyta; Magnoliopsida; Poales; Poaceae.
AUGCAUGCUUUCAUUGGUUGUUUGUUCCCUGGCUUUCUUUGGUUGUUUGUCGCUCGAAGAGCUCUUCGCCGCGCUGCGCCUGCCCCACGCCCUCGCUGGUGUCACGCUCCUCUCGCUCGACAACGGCGCGCUGGUCGGCGCGCUCUUCGUGACCACCGUCGUCGCGCUCGCUGCCGUCGUGGAGAUGCGCGGGUUCGUGCGCGACCUCUGCUUCCUCUUCUUCGCGCUCUGCAACUUGUGCGCAUGCUCGUGAGCGGCACGGUCAACGUCUGGGUGACCGCGUCCUUCGUGUCCAUCUACGUGGCCUACGUCAUCCUCGUCUGGACCUCCCAGUGCUGCGCCGAACCGGGGAAACCGCCACACCCCGACCUCGCGGCAUCGCUCCUCCUAGAGGACGACGACGACGACGUACCUCCCCUACCGUCCUACUCCUCCAAGAUCACGCAGGCUCCACGACAGCAGCCUGCCUGCAUUACCUCGUGUGCGAGCUCCGUAUGCCGUUGUACCUCCUGCGCCGCCUCACCCUCUCGGACAUCGCCGCGUACGCUGGUCUCGGCCCUGCGCCGUGGCCUUCGCCGCGUUGGCGCUCGUGCUCCUCGCCACGACAUGGACCUCGCACAACCCGGCGAAAUCAUCCUCGCGCCACGCCGCCACCACAACAGCGACGACCACGCGAUCCUCCUCGCCGGCGGCGUCCUUGGCCUCCUCUCGCGGCCCUCGUCGCGGCCACAACGGACGCCGCGUCCCCUCCCCACGGGCGCCCGCGUGGCGUGGCUGGCGGUGGGGUUCCUGAUGAGCAUACUCUGGGGCUCUGGGCAUACACCCUGGUGUGAACUGGUGGCGCGAACUGGUGGUCAUCGGGUACCGUACAUGGUGAGCGCGAACGCGAGCAUGCUGGGCGUGACGGUGCUGGCAUGCGGAGGCUCGUUGGGCGACCUAGUCUCCAACAUGGCGAUGGCGACGCACAGGGGCCCCGACCAUGCGCAGAUGGCCGUGUCAUCCUGCUGCGCCGGGCCGCUGUUCAACACGGUGGUGGGGCUGAGGCUUUCGCUGACGCUGGCGGCGGGCGCGCGGUACCUGGCGCCGUUCACGCUCCUGGCAGACGCAGCGGUGUACGAGACGGUGGGGUUCCUGUGCACCGGGCUGGCGUUGGUGCUGGUGGUGGUGCCGGCGAGGGGCAUGCGGCUCGACCGGGUGGACGGGGUGGGCCUCAUCGUCAUCUACCUCGCCUUCUUCGGCGUCCGCGUUAGCCUGUAG